AUACCGCAUAAUGUCGCAAGACCAAAGUGGGGGACCUUCGGGCCUCAUGCCAUCAGAUGUGCCCAGAUGGGAUUAGCUAGUAGGUGGGGUAAUGGCUCACCUAGGCGACGAUCCCUAGCUGGUCUGAGAGGAUGACCAGCCACACUGGAACUGAGACACGGUCCAGACUCCUACGGGAGGCAGCAGUGGGGAAUAUUGCACAAUGGGCGCAAGCCUGAUGCAGCCAUGCCGCGUGUGUGAAGAAGGCCUUCGGGUUGUAAAGCACUUUCAGCGGGGAGGAAGGCGUUGAGGUUAAUAACCUUGUCGAUUGACGUUACCCGCAGAAGAAGCACCGGCUAACUCCGUGCCAGCAGCCGCGGUAAUACGGAGGGUGCAAGCGUUAAUCGGAAUUACUGGGCGUAAAGCGCACGCAGGCGGUCUGUCAAGUCGGAUGUGAAAUCCCCGGGCUCAACCUGGGAACUGCAUUCGAAACUGGCAGGCUAGAGUCUUGUAGAGGGGGGUAGAAUUCCAGGUGUAGCGGUGAAAUGCGUAGAGAUCUGGAGGAAUACCGGUGGCGAAGGCGGCCCCCUGGACAAAGACUGACGCUCAGGUGCGAAAGCGUGGGGAGCAAACAGGAUUAGAUACCCUGGUAGUCCACGCCGUAAACGAUGUCGAUUUGGAGGUUGUGCCCUUGAGGUGUGGCUUCCGGAGCUAACGCGUUAAAUCGACCGCCUGGGGAGUACGGCCGCAAGGUUAAAACUCAAAUGAAUUGACGGGGGCCCGCACAAGCGGUGGAGCAUGUGGUUUAAUUCGAUGCAACGCGAAGAACCUUACCUGGUCUUGACAUCCACAGAACUUUCCAGAGAUGGAUUGGUGCCUUCGGGAACUGUGAGACAGGUGCUGCAUGGCUGUCGUCAGCUCGUGUUGUGAAAUGUUGGGUUAAGUCCCGCAACGAGCGCAACCCUUAUCCUUUGUUGCCAGCGGUUCGGCCGGGAACUCAAAGGAGACUGCCAGUGAUAAACUGGAGGAAGGUGGGGAUGACGUCAAGUCAUCAUGGCCCUUACGACCAGGGCUACACACGUGCUACAAUGGCAUAUACAAAGAGAAGCGACCUCGCGAGAGCAAGCGGACCUCAUAAAGUAUGUCGUAGUCCGGAUUGGAGUCUGCAACUCGACUCCAUGAAGUCGGAAUCGCUAGUAAUCGUAGAUCAGAAUGCUACGGUGAAUACGUUCCCGGGCCUUGUACACACCGCCCGUCACACCAUGGGAGUGGGUUGCAAAAGAAGUAGGUAGCUUAACCUUCGGGAGGGCGCUUACCACUUUGUGAUUCAUGACUGGGGUGAAGUCGUAACAAGGUAACCGUAGGGGAACCUGCGGUUGGAUCACCU
RNAcentral lists this ribosomal RNA (1366 nucleotides) under Klebsiella pneumoniae BIDMC 52. RNAcentral's name for it is "bacterial SSU rRNA". It matches the Rfam family "Bacterial small subunit ribosomal RNA", at positions 166 to 1528 of the family's 1533-position model. The record is from RNAcentral. Lineage: Bacteria; Pseudomonadati; Pseudomonadota; Gammaproteobacteria; Enterobacterales; Enterobacteriaceae.